Molecule: ribosomal RNA, 506 nt
Filed under: uncultured bacterium
Lineage: Bacteria
Description: partial 16S ribosomal RNA
Rfam family: Bacterial small subunit ribosomal RNA
Source: RNAcentral
AUUGAACGCUGGCGGCAGGCCUAACACAUGCAAGUCGGACGGUAGCACAGAGGAGCUUGUUCCUCGGGUGACGAGUGGCGGACGGGUGAGUAAUGUCUGGGGAUCUGCCCGAUAGAGGGGGAUAACCACUGGAAACGGUGGCUACUACCGCAUAACGUCGCAAGACCAAAGAGGGGGACCUUCGGGCCUCUCACUAUCGGAUGAACCCAGAUGGGAUUAGCUAGUAGGCAGGGUAACGGCCCACCUAGGCGACGAUCCCUAGCUGGUCUGAGAGGAUGACCAGCCACACUGGAACUGAGACACGGUCCAGACUCCUACGGGAGGCAGCAGUGGGGAAUAUUGCACAAUGGGCGCAAGCCUGAUGCAGCCAUGCCGCGUGUAUGAAGAAGGCCUUCGGGUUGUAAAGUACUUUCAGCGGGGAGGAAGGCGAUGUGGUUAAUAACCGCGUCGAUUGACGUUACCCGCAGAAGAAGCACCGGCUAACUCCGUGCCAGCCGCCGCUGUAA